Molecule: ribosomal RNA, 274 nt
Filed under: uncultured Pseudomonas sp.
Lineage: Bacteria; Pseudomonadati; Pseudomonadota; Gammaproteobacteria; Pseudomonadales; Pseudomonadaceae
Description: partial 16S ribosomal RNA
Rfam family: Bacterial small subunit ribosomal RNA
Source: RNAcentral
CUCGAGUUUACCAGCACGUUAUGGUGGGCACUCUAAGGAGACUGCCGGUGACAACCGGAGGAAGGUGGGGAUGACGUCAAGUCAUCAUGGCCCUUACGGCCUGGGCUACACACGUGCUACAAUGGUCGGUACAAAGGGUUGCCAAGCCGCGAGGUGGAGCUAAUCCCAUAAAACCGAUCGUAGUCCGGAUCGCAGUCUGCAACUCGACUGCGUGAAGUCGGAAUCGCUAGUAAUCGUGAAUCAGAAUGUCACGGUGAAUACGUUCCCGGGCCUU